Molecule: ribosomal RNA, 468 nt
Filed under: uncultured bacterium
Lineage: Bacteria
Description: partial 16S ribosomal RNA
Rfam family: Bacterial small subunit ribosomal RNA
Source: RNAcentral
GACGAACGCUGGCGGCGUGCUUAACACAUGCAAGUCGAACGGAAAGGCCCUGCUUUUGUGGGGUGCUCGAGUGGCGAACGGGUGAGUAACACUUGAGUAACCUGCCCUUGACUUUGGGAUAACUUCAGGAAACUGGGGCUAAUACCGGAUAGGAGCUCCUGCUGCAUGGUGGGGGUUGGAAAGUUUCGGCGGUUGGGGAUGGACUCGCGGCUUAUCAGCUUGUUGGUGGGGUAGUGGCUUACCAAGGCCUUGACGGGUAGCCGGCCUGAGAGGGUGACCGGCCACAUUGGGACUGAGAUACGGCCCAGACUCCUACGGGAGGCAGCAGUGGGGAAUAUUGCACAAUGGGCGGAAGCCUGAUGCAGCAACGCCGCGUGCGGGAUGACGGCCUUCGGGUUGUAAACCGCUUUCGCCUGUGACGAAGCGUGAGUGACGGUAAUGGGUAAAGAAGCACCGGCUAACUACGUG